UACGUAGGUGGCAAGCGUUGUCCGGAAUUAUUGGGCGUAAAGCGUGCGCAGGUGGUUGUGUAAGCUUGAUGUGAAAUCCCCGGGCUUAACCUGGGAAUGGCAUUGAGGACUGCACGGCUAGAGUGUGGCAGAGGGGGGUGGAAUUCCGCGUGUAGCAGUGAAAUGCGUAGAGAUGCGGAGGAACACCGAUGGCGAAGGCAGCCCCCUGGGCUAACACUGACACUCAUGCACGAAAGCGUGGGGAGCAAACAGG
Molecule: ribosomal RNA, 253 nt
Filed under: uncultured bacterium
Lineage: Bacteria
Description: partial 16S ribosomal RNA
Rfam family: Bacterial small subunit ribosomal RNA
Source: RNAcentral